Small nucleolar RNA from Hippoglossus stenolepis (Pacific halibut), 77 nucleotides. RefSeq annotates it as small nucleolar RNA SNORD50. The record is from RefSeq and is a predicted model, not a curated record. Lineage: Eukaryota; Metazoa; Chordata; Actinopteri; Pleuronectiformes; Pleuronectidae. The transcript has a single exon.
UGACAGUGAUCUCUUUAUCCCGAAGCUGAUCAUUUUCUGAUGAAAGUAAAACCUUUAUCGGAUCUGAUUGCUGAGUU